UGGGAAUCAACCAAUCUGCAAAUGCAAACUGGAUAAUAGAAGUGGAAAACCAAAAUGUUCAAGACCUAAAUGUUGAGAUAAUUGAUAUAGUGCCGGCAGAAAAAUCCAUUAUAAAGAGACAAUGCCACCAUGGUGGUACACCAUGUACCAAAAUGUAGACUAUGAAGAAUGACAUUAUUAUAAUCUCUCUUCAAGUCAGAAUUCAAGAUAAGAAGACAUCUCGACGAAAACAUCAAAGUAUGCUCUGAAUGUUAUAAUAUUUAUAACAUAACUCCUACAGAAAUAUUAGUAUACUCUGCACUU
This 303-nucleotide long non-coding RNA is filed under the name Lupinus angustifolius (narrow-leaved blue lupine). RNAcentral's name for it is "long non-coding RNA (LANG_LNC001057)". The record is from RNAcentral. Lineage: Eukaryota; Viridiplantae; Streptophyta; Magnoliopsida; Fabales; Fabaceae.